GACGAACGCUGGCGGCGUGCUUAACACAUGCAAGUCGAACGGAAAGGCCCUGCGUUUGUGGGGUGCUCGAGUGGCGAACGGGUGAGUAACACGUGAGUAACCUGCCCUUGACUUUGGGAUAACUUUAGGAAACUGGGGCUAAUACCGGAUAGGAGCUCUUGCUGCAUGGUGGGGGUUGGAAAGUUUCGGCGGUUGGGGAUGGACUCGCGGCUUAUCAGCUUGUUGGUGGGGUAGUGGCUUACCAAGGCUUUGACGGGUAGCCGGCCUGAGAGGGUGACCGGCCACAUUGGGACUGAGAUACGGCCCAGACUCCUACGGGAGGCAGCAGUGGGGAAUAUUGCACAAUGGGCGGAAGCCUGAUGCAGCAACGCCGCGUGCGGGAUGACGGCCUUCGGGUUGUAAACCGCUUUCGCCUGUGACGAAGCGUGAGUGACGGUAAUGGGUAAAGAAGCACCGGCUAACUACGUG
Molecule: ribosomal RNA, 468 nt
Filed under: uncultured bacterium
Lineage: Bacteria
Description: partial 16S ribosomal RNA
Rfam family: Bacterial small subunit ribosomal RNA
Source: RNAcentral